AAAUUUCUCUAAAACUUUUAUUUAGCCGAUUAUCCCUUAAAAACUUAAAACCUUUUUUUUAAAAAAACUCUCUCAAACUCCUUUUCUCCGUCGAACGGGUUCGGCCGGCAUUUUGCCCUUUCGUUGCCGUGUCCGGCGCCGCGAAAAUAGGCUUUUAGCCCCGCUUUAAAGCACCCUUAAAGGCUAAGCCCCCAAAUCCCGAUGAAUCGAACGGACAUAGGGCUUGAUACCCUUUUAGAGUCGAUUACGACAGCGGCGUCGCAACCCAGGGAAAUCAGGUAAGUCCCUCCUCUUUCCCUUCUUUAGUUUCGUAUCAAAAUGAAAGAAAAAAUAAUAAAAUAAAAAAAAUUGAAAAGUAAAAAUGAAAAUCACCUUUAGCAAAUACUGUUUUUGUUUCUUGAUUCUAUUGAUCUGUGUGCGUAAGCCUUUAUACUGACUAUCUCUAGCUUUUUAUAACCGAAUGAAAUAAAAAUAAAAAUAAAAUUACAAGAACGAUUUUCUCUUCUUUUUUGUUAUUUCUUUGUUGUUGUUGUGCAUUUGCUGUGGCUUGUGGGUUUGUUGCAGGUACAGCUAGACAGGUGUGCGUAGAGAAAACAACAAGGAUUUCCAAAAGCUUCACCUUGUUUGGGCCCUGUGAGCCUAUCCCGAAGUCGAGCUAUUGGGGCGGAGGCCAUUGCUGCGGCGCGAGGAAGCUUCAAAAACACUUAGGGUUUUUGAAAGAAAUUUAAUCAUUGGGCCUUUUGGGUCAAUUUUGAUUUAGGCUAUUGGGCCAAAGGUCCAUUUUAGAUUUGGGUUAUUAUUUUUUUGUAUUUGGGCCAUUGUUUUGGGACCUUUGCAUUCAGGUUUGUAAAAAAUUAGGCCAAUCGGGCUUUGUAUUUAUUUGGGUUUUGUGAUUUGAUGGACUUGCUGGACUGUUACCAAUUUGGACUUUAUUUACUGGUUUUUUAUUUAUACUGUUUAUUAUUUUUUUGGAUAAUUUAUGGGCCCGGGUAAAAUGGGCCUAUUACAAAUAUUAUAAAAAUAAAUAUUAUUUUUAAAAUCUAAAGAUUCUUAAUACGGUAGAAUAUUCGGAACAGAAAAAUGAAAGGAAGAAAUAAUAGAUAGAAAAGAAGAGAAAAUUUCAGAGAAGAGAAAUGAAGAAGAA
This 1144-nucleotide long non-coding RNA is filed under the name Gossypium barbadense (sea-island cotton). RNAcentral's name for it is "long non-coding RNA (GBAR_LNC004231)". Lineage: Eukaryota; Viridiplantae; Streptophyta; Magnoliopsida; Malvales; Malvaceae. The record is from RNAcentral.